UACGAAGGGGGCUAGCGUUGCUCGGAAUCACUGGGCGUAAAGGGUGCGUAGGCGGGUCUUUAAGUCAGGGGUGAAAUCCUGGAGCUCAACUCCAGAACUGCCUUUGAUACUGGUAGCUCGAGUCCGGGAGAGGUGAGUGGAACUGCGAGUGUAGAGGUGAAAUUCGUAGAUAUUCGCAAGAACACCAGUGGCGAAGGCGGCUCACUGGCCCGGUACUGACGCUGAGGUGCGAAAGCGUGGGGAGCAAACAGG
RNAcentral lists this ribosomal RNA (252 nucleotides) under uncultured bacterium. RNAcentral's name for it is "partial 16S ribosomal RNA". It matches the Rfam family "Bacterial small subunit ribosomal RNA", at positions 524 to 776 of the family's 1533-position model. The record is from RNAcentral.